UGCUGUGGUCUGUUGGUGUUUGUUUGUUUGUUUGUUUAUGUGUGACGAAAAUGUCAGUGGGAACGGAACUCUGAGAACACACACACACACACACACACACACACACACACACACACACACACACACAUCUAUAGAAAUAAUGGAAAUAGGGAGGUGGUCUCCAGUCCAUUCUCCUCCUCCUGCUUCUCCUCUUCCUCCUCCUCCUCCUCCUCCGUCCCAGGCCACAAAGAAUACUACAUAUUGACAGUUCGGAUUGGGAAGAUGUGUAGGAGGGUGAAGGAGGAAUAAGGUAGGAAAGAUGUCGUUGUUGUUGUUGUUGUUGGUGGUGGUGGUGGUGGUGGUGGAGGUGGGAAGAUGGGAAUAGGUGAAUAGGAAGGAAGGGGAGUCGCAAACCUAUGGAGAAUUUCAAUAUGUAAAAGGUUAUGGAACUGUACGAAGAGCUUUUGAGGUAAUGAUAAUAAUAGAAGAGAAGAAGGAGGAGGAGGAAAAUGCAAGGGAGAAAGAAAAAAAAGAAGAAGAAAAAAGAAAAAGAAGAAGGAAAAUGAAAAAGAGAAAGAGGAAAAAGAAGGGGAAGAAGAAGAAAAAAAAGAAAAAAAAAGGAAAAUGAAAAAGAGAAAGAAGAGGAAGAAGAAAGAGAAAAAAACUACCAUACGAGCUUUCAAAAUAAUAACAGUAGCGGAAAAGAAGAACAAGAACGAGAACAAGAAGGAAAAAAAGGAGAAAAACAAAACGAAAAGAGAGAAAGAAAAAGUACACGAAAUGAAACGAAAAAGAAAAAAAAGAGGAAAAUAAAACCAAAAAAUUCAAAACUAAAAAAAACGGAAAAAAAACGAGAGCUCCAGUAAUGAUGAUGAAGGGGAAGGUAGAGAAGAAGAGGAGGUAGGUAGGAAGGUGGAAAGAAACCCCCCCUCCCCCCCUUCCCCCUCCCCCUAGCGCCACCCUGCUAUUCUUCACUCGACAACUGUGCCGUGAAGAGCGACUUGGCCAGGAUUCAGGAGGAGGAGGAGGAGGAGGAGGAGGAGGAAGAGGAAAAGAGGAAGGAGGUCACACUGGAAGAAGGAGGAGGAGGGAAGGAAGAAUGGGAAAAGAGGGGGUGUUUCUGAUAGUGGGGGAAGAGGAAGAGGAGGUGGAGGUCACACUGAAAGGAGGAGGAGGAGGGGAGGAAGAAGGGGAAAAUAAGAGAGGUGCUUCUGAUUGUAAAAAUGGAGAAGAGGUGAAAGGAGGUGGAAGGUAGGUGAGUGGAGGUGGAGGAGGAGGAAGAAGAGGGGGAGGUCACGCUGGAAGGAGGAGGAGGGGAGGAAGAAGGGGAAAAUAAGGGACGUGCUUCUGAUUGUAAAAAUGGAGAAGAGGCGAGAGGAGGUGGAGGAGGAGUUAGAAGAGGGGGAGGUCACACUGGAAGGAGGAAGAGGAAGGGAGGAAGACGGGGAAGAGAGGGGAGGUGCUUCUUAGAAUGGGGGAGAAGAGGAGGAGGAGGAGGAGGCGGCUGAGGAACUAAUUCUUUGGAGGAGGAUGAAGGGAAGAAGAAGAAGAAGAAGAAGAAAAAAAAAAGAUAGGAGAGGAGAGGUACUUUUGGUCGUGAGGAAGGAGCAGGAUCAAGUGUAUAAGAAAAAGGAGGAAGAAGAGGAGGAGGAGGAGAAGGAAGAAAAGAAGAAGAAGGAGGAAGAGGAAGAGAAAAAAAGAUGUUAUUAAUAGUGCAGAAAAAAAAAAAAAGAAUACGUGUUUUUACGGCUGGAUAAAGGAGAGGUAGAGAAGUAGGGAGGAAAGAUUAAUAAGAUGAAGGAGAGAGUAGAUAGACUUUUGAUAGCCGUGAAGGAGAGGGAUAGAUGGCGCUGGUGGUGGUAGUGAAUAAGGGAGAGUGGCUUUUCGUUAAGAGGGAGAGUGGAAAGGGAGAGAGGGAGAGGGAGAAGGGAAAGUUAGAAGGUAAUAAAAAGAGGAAGAGUGGGGAGAGAGAGAGAGAGAGAGAGAGAGAUGCACAAUCAACAGUUUUCGAAGGAGACAUAAUAGGCUCGUGUUGUUAUUCUCUCUCUCUCUCUCUCUCAGGAUAGCGGGUAACGAGAUACUAGAGGAAGAAAAAGAUAAGGAGGAGGAAAAGGAGGAAGAUGAUGAUGAUGAUGAUGAAGAAAAAGAAAAAGAAAAAGAAGAAAACGAAGAAGAGGAGGAGGAGGAGGAGCAGGAAGAAGAUGAUGAUGGUGAAGAAAAAGAAAAAGAAAAAGAAGAAAAUGAAGAAGAGGGGAAGGAGGAGGAGGAACAGGAAAAAGAAGAAGAUGAUGAUGAUGAUGAUGAAAAAGGAAAAGAAAAAGAAGAAAACGAAGAAGAGGAGGAGGAGCAGGAAGAUGAUGAUGAUGAUGAUGAAAAAGGAAAAUAAAAAGAAGAGGAGGAGGAGGAGGAAGAGGUGUGGCUGAGUCAGAUCCUGGAAGCUGUUGGGACUUGGCAGAGAGACUAGUUCGGUGGGCGGCGGUGAAGGCGACGGAGGGAGAAAGAGGAGAUUUUUGGCGUCUCUCACCUCCUCCUCCUCCUCCCCCUCCUCCUCUUUCUCC
Long non-coding RNA from Eriocheir sinensis (Chinese mitten crab), 2537 nucleotides. RefSeq lists it as uncharacterized. Lineage: Eukaryota; Metazoa; Arthropoda; Malacostraca; Decapoda; Varunidae. The transcript has 2 exons. The record is from RefSeq and is a predicted model, not a curated record.